This 500-nucleotide ribosomal RNA is filed under the name uncultured bacterium. RNAcentral describes it as "partial 16S ribosomal RNA". It matches the Rfam family "Bacterial small subunit ribosomal RNA", at positions 28 to 507 of the family's 1533-position model. The record is from RNAcentral.
GACGAACGCUGGCGGCGUGCCUAAUACAUGCAAGUCGAGCGGACUUUUCGGAAUGCCUGCACUCCGGAAGUUUAGCGGCGGGCGGGUGAGUAACACGUAUGCAACCUCCCCAUAAGACCGGUAUAACAUUCGGAAACGAAUGCUAAUACCGUAUAGACUUACUUCUCACAUUUGAGUAUCGGAAAAGGCUUAUCAUUCUGCCGCUUAUUGGUUGCCCCGCGGCGCAUUAGCUAGUUGGUGGGGUAACGGCCUACCAAGGCGACGAUGCGUAGCCGACCUGAGAGGGUGAUCGGCCACACUGGAACUGAGACACGGCCCAGACUCCUACGGGAGGCAGCAGUAGGGAAUCUUCCGCAAUGGGCGAAAGCCUGACGGAGCAACGCCGCGUGAGUGAGGAAGGCCUUCGGGUCGUAAAGCUCUGUUGUCAGGGAAGAACGGGUAGGUGAGUAACUGCGCUUGCCAUGACGGUACCUGAGAAGAAAGCCACGGCUAACUACGUG